UUGUGGGUGUUAAAAGGACUGAGUUUCCUGUGUUUGGGGUCUUCCUGAGAUGUAAGCAAUAAAGCUUUGCUGUAGAAGGAUCUGGUUGUCCAAGUAUGUUUUGCUGGCGAAACAUUACAAGGACAAGAAGUGGUGCAGAAACCCGGGAACUAUAUUAUCACCAGGCGCUGAUAGGAGAGCCCCCGUUUCACGGGGCAGAUUCAGAACUACGGGACAAUACAGCUCUGCAAGGAGGAAGAUAAUCCCUUUUGGAUUCCGGAGCGCCUCACUCAAAGGAUCCAGCUCUUGGACAAUGAGUCACAGGAACAAGAUCCCAAGACAUCGAUGGAUCAUACUUCUCAUGCUGGACAUUCUGGUUCUUAGUAUAUCUAGAGAGUUAAGAUGGGGAAUUAUGUCAACUUUCCCUCUUCCUAUGCCAGUUAUGCAUAAUGCACAAAUAUUUCCAUGCUUUUUCACUACAGAUAAAGAACUGGGUCUUGCUUAUUUACCCUUAGAUGAACAGAUUCAGGCUUUACAAGAAAAUAGAACCUUCUUCCUACAGGGAAGCCUGUGCUUUAUGUUAAUUUCCUCAUUACAAGAUAAGAGCCAAUGUAUAUCCUUGCAUUAUCAAUCAGCAGCCUGGUUAAAAAGGGCCUCUUUUGGCGGAGCGGCUUUUGACAUGAAGGCUGAUGCCAUAGUUAUAAGAAGAUGGUGGCCCAGCCGAAAAGGUGGAAGUUCUGGAAAUAAGCCGCCUUCACAACCUAGAAUGGCACCCUUUUGCAAGGAAGGGUCCAUGGAAGAUGUAACGCUACCUUGGACAGGCUGCCAAGCUAAAAAAUAUACUUGGGCAGUAGAGAAAUAUUUUUCCUUUUCACCAUAUAUUAGUAGAGAGUUUAAUGAUACUUUUGCUGGAUAUGAUUUUAGUGCUGUGGACCCCCUCCGACCUAAUAGUAACCCUUUUGAUCAGUGGUUGCUUUGUGGGGUUAAUGGAAGCUGUACUGAUCUCGCCCCCAUGGCUAUGAUUGGAGGAGGUUCUAGUGAGAAGGGAGAAAUGACCUUUGAUUAGAGAAGUACCCAGCGCCAGAAUGAAAAACAGGGUUCAAAUUCUAAAUGGACUACAUCCAAUGUU
RNAcentral lists this long non-coding RNA (1108 nucleotides) under Mus musculus (house mouse). Its description in RNAcentral is "predicted gene, 49441". Lineage: Eukaryota; Metazoa; Chordata; Mammalia; Rodentia; Muridae. The record is from RNAcentral.